CCUACGGGAGGCAGCAGUGAGGAAUAUUGGUCAAUGGGCGCGAGCCUGAACCAGCCAAGUAGCGUGAAGGAUGACGGCCCUACGGGUUGUAAACUUCUUUUAUAAAGGAAUAAAGUGAGGCACGUGGGCCUUUUUGUAUGUACUUUAUGAAUAAGGAUCGGCUAACUCCGUGCCAGCAGCCGCGGUAAUACGGAGGAUCCGAGCGUUAUCCGGAUUUAGUGGGUUUAAAGGGAGCGUAGAUGGGUUGUUAAGUCAGUUGUGAAAGUUUGCGGCUCAACCGUAAAAUUGCAAUUGAAACUGGCAGUCUUUAGUACAGUUCAGGUAGGCGGAAUUCCUUGUGUAGCCGU
Molecule: ribosomal RNA, 347 nt
Filed under: uncultured bacterium
Lineage: Bacteria
Description: partial 16S ribosomal RNA
Rfam family: Bacterial small subunit ribosomal RNA
Source: RNAcentral